GAUGAACGCUGGCGGCGUGCCUAAUACAUGCAAGUCGAGCGAACAGACGAGGAGCUUGCUCCUCUGACGUUAGCGGCGGACGGGUGAGUAACACGUGGAUAACCUACCUAUAAGACUGGGAUAACUACGGGAAACCGGAGCUAAUACCGGAUAAUAUAUUGAACCGCAUGGUUCAAUAGUGAAAGACGGUUUUGCUGUCACUUAUAGGUGGAUCCGCGCCGCAUUAGCUAGUUGGUAAGGUAACGGCUUACCAAGGCAACGAUGCGUAGCCGACCUGAGAGGGUGAUCGGCCACACUGGAACUGAGACACGGUCCAGACUCCUACGGGAGGCAGCAGUAGGGAAUCUUCCGCAAUGGGCGAAAGCCUGACGGAGCAACGCCGCGUGAGUGAUGAAGGUCUUCGGAUCGUAAAACUCUGUUAUUAGGGAAGAACAAAUGUGUAAGUAACUAUGCACGUCUUGACGGUACCUAAUCAGAAAGCCACGGCUAACUACGUG
RNAcentral lists this ribosomal RNA (497 nucleotides) under uncultured bacterium. RNAcentral's name for it is "partial 16S ribosomal RNA". It matches the Rfam family "Bacterial small subunit ribosomal RNA", at positions 28 to 507 of the family's 1533-position model. The record is from RNAcentral.